This 127-nucleotide small RNA is filed under the name Marmota monax (woodchuck). The record is from RNAcentral. Lineage: Eukaryota; Metazoa; Chordata; Mammalia; Rodentia; Sciuridae.
GCUGGGUGUGGUGGUGCAUGCCUGUAAUCCCAGAGACUUAGGAGGCUGAGGCAGGAGGAUUAUAAGUUGGAGACCACCUUUAGUAAUUUAGCAAGACCCUAAGCACUUUAGUGAGAUCCUGUCUCAA